This 393-nucleotide ribosomal RNA is filed under the name uncultured Prevotellaceae bacterium. RNAcentral's name for it is "bacterial SSU rRNA". It matches the Rfam family "Bacterial small subunit ribosomal RNA", at positions 355 to 743 of the family's 1533-position model. Lineage: Bacteria; Pseudomonadati; Bacteroidota; Bacteroidia; Bacteroidales; Prevotellaceae. The record is from RNAcentral.
UGAGGAAUAUUGGUCAAUGGACGCAAGUCUGAACCAGCCAAGUAGCGUGCAGGAUGACGGCCCUCCGGGUUGUAAACUGCUUUUAGUUGGGAAUAAAAGGGCGCACGUGUGCGUCGUAUUGCAAGUACCGUCAGAAAAAGGACCGGCUAAUUCCGUGCCAGCAGCCGCGGUAAUACGGAAGGUCCGGGCGUUAUCCGGAUUUAUUGGGUUUAAAGGGAGCGUAGGCGGGCUAUUAAGUCAGCUGUGGAAUCCGGCGGCUCAACCGUCGGCCUGCAGUUGAUACUGGUGGUCUUGAGUGCGCGCAGGGGCGUUGGAAUUCAUGGUGUAGCGGUGAAAUGCUCAGAUAUCAUGAAGAACUCCGAUCGCGAAGGCAGAUGCCCGGAGCGCAACUGA